AUUGAACGCUGGCGGCAGGCUUAACGCAUGCAAGUCGAGCGGAGAGAGGUAGCUUGCUACUGAUCUUAGCGGCGGACGGGUGAGUAAUGCUUAGGAAUCUGCCUAUUAGUGGGGGACAACAUUUCGAAAGGAAUGCUAAUACCGCAUACGUCCUACGGGAGAAAGCAGGGGAUCUUCGGACCUUGCGCUAAUAGAUGAGCCUAAGUCGGAUUAGCUAGUUGGUGGGGUAAAGGCCUACCAAGGCGACGACCUGUAGCGGGUCUGAGAGGAUGAUCCGCCACACUGGGACUGAGACACGGCCCAGACUCCGACGGGAGGCAGCAGUGGGGAAUAUUGGACAAUGGGCGGAAGCCUGAUCCAGCCAUGCCGCGUGUGUGAAGAAGGCCUUAUGGUUGUAAAGCACUUUAAGCGAGGAGGAGGCUACUUUAGUUAAUACCUAGAGAUAGUGGACGUUACUCGCAGAAUAAGCACCGGCUAACUCUGUGCCAGCCGCCGCCGUAA
RNAcentral lists this ribosomal RNA (501 nucleotides) under uncultured bacterium. RNAcentral's name for it is "partial 16S ribosomal RNA". It matches the Rfam family "Bacterial small subunit ribosomal RNA", at positions 30 to 523 of the family's 1533-position model. The record is from RNAcentral.